UGUGCCAGCAGCCGCGGUAAUACGUAGGGUGCGAGCGUUGUCCGGAAUUACUGGGCGUAAAGAGCUCGUAGGUGGUUUGUCGCGUCGUCUGUGAAAUUCUGGGGCUUAACUCCGGGCGUGCAGGCGAUACGGGCAUAACUUGAGUGCUGUAGGGGUAACUGGAAUUCCUGGUGUAGCGGUGAAAUGCGCAGAUAUCAGGAGGAACACCGAUGGCGAAGGCAGGUUACUGGGCAGUUACUGACGCUGAGGAGCGAAAGCAUGGGUAGCGAACAGGAUUAGAUACCCUGGUAGUCAAGGGCG
Molecule: ribosomal RNA, 300 nt
Filed under: uncultured Actinomycetales bacterium
Lineage: Bacteria; Bacillati; Actinomycetota; Actinomycetes; Actinomycetales
Description: bacterial SSU rRNA
Rfam family: Bacterial small subunit ribosomal RNA
Source: RNAcentral